Mastomys coucha (southern multimammate mouse) is the source of this 410-nucleotide long non-coding RNA. RefSeq lists it as uncharacterized. The transcript is spliced from 2 exons. Lineage: Eukaryota; Metazoa; Chordata; Mammalia; Rodentia; Muridae. The record is from RefSeq and is a predicted model, not a curated record.
CGUCCCUCCCCCGCAGAGCCGUACCGGUCUAUGAACAUCAGUACAGUUAGAGCUGAGCGUUUAAGGGUCUGUCCCUGACCAACUCUGGGAAGGAUUAGAUCUUUUCCAGAUCGCUGAUAAGCCAGCAUGUGCACAUUUCUCACACCGCAACACAUCCUGCAAGGGAGAGGCUCAAGAUCUGACUCGGACCACACAGCCAAGAAAUGGCUACUACUUGGCCUCUGGUGAGCUGCCUGGACGGAGCACUCUGCUCACAGACUUCUUCCUCUGGCUCCAAAAUGAGGGAAAUGUCUAACAACCCCCCAGAUCCAGUCAGUUCACAAAGACAACAUUGAUAAAGGACAAUUCUAGAAAUAUCUACAGAUGCUCCUGACGGAUAUAGAAGUAAGACAUCCUCAGUUCCCACCUUC